AACUUUUACGAGGUAUCAGCACUUUUCUUUCAUUAGUGGGGAAGGAAGGAUGAGAAAUACAAAAGAGCAGUAGACUUUUAAAGUUUAAAUAGACAGGUCUGAGUGCCUGAACGUGCUCUUCCAUUUUACGUUAACCCAGAAGUAUUCUGAUCCAGUCUCACUGCUGAUCAGCAAGGGUAAGUUGAAAG
This 188-nucleotide non-coding RNA is filed under the name Podiceps cristatus (great crested grebe). RNAcentral's name for it is "Connexin-43 internal ribosome entry site (IRES)". It matches the Rfam family "Connexin-43 internal ribosome entry site (IRES)". Rfam says of the family: This family represents the connexin-43 internal ribosome entry site (IRES) which allows cap independent translation during conditions such as heat shock and stress. The record is from Rfam by way of RNAcentral. Lineage: Eukaryota; Metazoa; Chordata; Aves; Podicipediformes; Podicipedidae.